UUUCCGUAGGUGAACCUGCGGAAGGAUCAUUAUUGUAUAACCGAGGUGCGAGGGCUGUCGCUGACCCGAAAGGUCGUGCACGCCCGAGUGCCCUCACACACAUCCAUCUCACCCCUAUGUGCACCACCGCGUGGGUCCCCCUUUGGCUUGUUCGGAGGGGGGCUUACGUUUUCACACAAACUUUGUAUGCAGUGUAGAAUGUAUUUUUUGUUUUUGCGAUCACGCAAUCAAUACAACUUUCAACAACGGAUCUCUUGGCUCUCGCAUCGAUGAAGAACGCGC
This 282-nucleotide unclassified non-coding RNA is filed under the name plant metagenome. RNAcentral's name for it is "partial contains small subunit ribosomal RNA, internal transcribed spacer 1, and 5.8S ribosomal RNA". The stretch from base 235 to 282 matches the Rfam family "5.8S ribosomal RNA", at positions 1 to 48 of the family's 154-position model. The record is from RNAcentral.